CAGCAGCCGCGGUAACACCUGCAGCCCAAGUGGUGGUCGAUUUUAUUGUGUCUAAAACGUUCGUAGCCGGUUUGGUAAAUCUUUGGGUAAAUCGGGAAGCUCAACUUUCCGACUUCCGAAGAGACUGUCAAACUUGGGACCGGGAGAGGCUAGAGGUACUUCUGGGGUAGGGGUAAAAUCCUGUAAUCCUAGAAGGACCACCGGUGGCGAAGGCGUCUAGCUAGAACGGAUCCGACGGUGAGGGACGAAGCCCUGGGUCGCAAACGGGAUUAGAUACCCCGGUAGUCCAGGGUGUAAACGCUGCUCGACUUGGUGUUGGAGGCCCUUCGGGGGCAUUCAGUGCCGGAGAGAAGUUGUUAAGUCGGCUACUUGGGGAGUACGUCCGCAAGGAUGAAACUUAAAGGAAUUGGCGG
RNAcentral lists this ribosomal RNA (413 nucleotides) under uncultured rumen archaeon. RNAcentral's name for it is "bacterial SSU rRNA". It matches the Rfam family "Archaeal small subunit ribosomal RNA", at positions 459 to 871 of the family's 1478-position model. The record is from RNAcentral.